RNAcentral lists this ribosomal RNA (253 nucleotides) under uncultured bacterium. Its description in RNAcentral is "partial 16S ribosomal RNA". It matches the Rfam family "Bacterial small subunit ribosomal RNA", at positions 524 to 776 of the family's 1533-position model. The record is from RNAcentral.
UACGUAGGGUGCGAGCGUUGUCCGGAAUCACUGGGCGUAAAGGGCGCGUAGGUGGUUUGAUAAGGGUGUGGUGAAAGUCCGGAGCUCAACUCCGGAUCUGCCGUGCCGACUGUCAAACUCGAGGGCUGUAGAGGCAGACGGAAUUCCGGGUGUAGCGGUGGAAUGCGUAGAGAUCCGGAGGAAGACCGGUGGCGAAGGCGGUCUGCUGGGCAGUUUCUGACACUGAGGCGCGACAGCGUGGGGAGCAAACAGG